Molecule: ribosomal RNA, 210 nt
Filed under: uncultured Syntrophus sp.
Lineage: Bacteria; Pseudomonadati; Thermodesulfobacteriota; Syntrophia; Syntrophales; Syntrophaceae
Description: partial 16S ribosomal RNA
Rfam family: Bacterial small subunit ribosomal RNA
Source: RNAcentral
UGGGGAUGACGUCAAGUCCUCAUGGCCUUUAUGCCCAGGGCUACACACGUGCUACAAUGGGUGGUACAAAGAGCAGCCAGCUCGCGAGAGUGAGCAAAUCUCAAAAAGCCAUCCUCAGUUCGGAUUGAAGUCUGCAACUCGACUUCAUGAAGUUGGAAUCGCUAGUAAUCGCGGAUCAGCAUGCCGCGGUCGAAUACGUUCCCGGGCCUU